AACGAAGGGCCCGAACGUUACCCGGAAUCACUGGGCGUAAAGCGCACGCAGGCGGCCUGGUAAGUCGGGCGUGAAAUCUCCCAGCUCAACUGGGAGGCGCCGUCCGAUACUGGUGGCCUUGAGGGCGGGAGAGGGAGGUGGAAUUCCCGGUGUAGCGGUGAAAUGCGUAGAGAUCGGGAGGAACGCCAGUGGGGAAGGCGGCCCCCUGGACCGUCCCUGACGCUCAGGUGCGAAAGCUAGGGGAGCGAACGGG
This 253-nucleotide ribosomal RNA is filed under the name uncultured bacterium. RNAcentral's name for it is "partial 16S ribosomal RNA". It matches the Rfam family "Bacterial small subunit ribosomal RNA", at positions 524 to 776 of the family's 1533-position model. The record is from RNAcentral.